GACGAACGCUGGCGGCGUGCUUAACACAUGCAAGUCGAACGGUGAACCUCUUCGCAGGGUUUCAGUGGCGAACGGGUGAGUCACACGUGGACAACCGGACCCCGGCCCUGGGAUAACUAGAAGAAAUUGGGACUAAUACGGGAAGUUCACCGCUUCCCGCAUGGGUGGUGGUGGAAAGGGUUACCGGCGGGGGAUGGUCCCGAGGCAUAUCAGCUUGUUGGCGGCGUAGUGGCAUACGAAGGCGACGAUGGGUAGCCGGCACGGGAACGUGAACGGCAAAAAGGGGACUGAGACACGGCCCAGUCGGCAACGGGAGGCAGCAGGUGAGAAUAUGGCGCAACGGGCGGAAGCCUGUGGCAGCAAUGCCGCGUGCGGGAAGACGGCCUACGGGUUGUAAACCUAUCUCAACAUAGCCGAGGCGAUAUUGACGGUACCUGCUGAAAAAGCAACGGCCAACUACGUG
Molecule: ribosomal RNA, 463 nt
Filed under: uncultured bacterium
Lineage: Bacteria
Description: partial 16S ribosomal RNA
Rfam family: Bacterial small subunit ribosomal RNA
Source: RNAcentral